RNAcentral lists this ribosomal RNA (492 nucleotides) under uncultured bacterium. RNAcentral describes it as "partial 16S ribosomal RNA". It matches the Rfam family "Bacterial small subunit ribosomal RNA", at positions 29 to 507 of the family's 1533-position model. The record is from RNAcentral.
AGUGAACGCUGGCGGUAGGCCUAACACAUGCAAGUCGAACGGCAGCACAGUAAGAGCUUGCUCUUACGGGUGGCGAGUGGCGGACGGGUGAGGAAUACAUCGGAAUCUACUUUUUCGUGGGGGAUAACGUAGGGAAACUUACGCUAAUACCGCAUACGACCUACGGGUGAAAGCAGGGGAUCUCCGGACCUUGCGCGAUUGAAUGAGCCGAUGUCGGAUUAGCUAGUUGGCGGGGUAAAGGCCCACCAAGGCGACGAUCCGUAGCUGGUCUGAGAGGAUGAUCAGCCACACUAGAACUGAGACACGGUCCAGACUCCUACGGGAGGCAGCAGUGGGGAAUAUUGGACAAUGGGCGCAAGCCUGAUCCAGCCAUACCGCGUGGGUGAAGAAGGCCUUCGGGUUGUAAAGCCCUUUUGUUGGGAAAGAAAAGCAGCAGGUUAAUACCCCGCUGUUCUGACGGUACCCAAAGAAUAAGCACCGGCUAACUUCGUG